Molecule: ribosomal RNA, 506 nt
Filed under: uncultured bacterium
Lineage: Bacteria
Description: bacterial SSU rRNA
Rfam family: Bacterial small subunit ribosomal RNA
Source: RNAcentral
CAACAGCUAGAGUUUGAUCCUGGCUCAGGACGAACGCUGGCGGCGUGCCUAACACAUGCAAGUCGAGCGGGGUUGAAGCGAGAGGUAACUCGAACUUCUACCUAGCGGCGGACGGGUGAGUAACGCGUGGGCAACCUGCCUCAAGGUUUGGGAUAACAGCCCGAAAGGGCUGCUAAUACCGGAUAUGCCUAUGGCCUCGCAUGGGGCUAUGAGCAAAGGGGAAACCCGCCUUGAGAUGGGCCCGCGUCCCAUCAGCUAGUUGGUGAGGUAACAGCUCACCAAGGCGACGACGGGUAGCCGGCCUGAGAGGGUGACCGGCCACACUGGGACUGAGACACGGCCCAGACUCCUACGGGGGGCAGCAGUGGGGGAUCUUGCACAAUGGGCGAAAGCCUGAUGCAGCGACGCCGCGUGAGCGAAGAAGGCCUUCGGGUUGUAAAGCUCUGUCUGGAGGGACGAACAAAAUGACGGUACCUCCGGAGGAAGCCACGGCUAAACUACGUGCC